AACGAACGCUGGCGGCAUGCCUAACACAUGCAAGUCGAACGAGAUCUUCGGGUCUAGUGGCGCACGGGUGCGUAACGCGUGGGAAUCUGCCCUUUGGUUAGGAAUAACAGGUGGAAACGACUGCUAAUACCGGAUGAUGACGAAAGUCCAAAGAUUUAUCGCCAGAGGAUGAGCCCGCGUAGGAUUAGCUAGUUGGUGUGGUAAAGGCGCACCAAGGAGACGAUCCUUAGCUGGUCUGAGAGGAUGAUCAGCCACACUGGGACUGAGACACGGCCCAGACUCCUACGGGAGGCAGAAGUGGGGAAUAUUGGACAAUGGGCGAAAGCCUGAUCCAGCAAUGCCGCGUGAGUGAUGAAGGCCUUAGGGUUGUAAAGCUCUUUUACCCGGGAUGAUAAUGACAGUACCGGGAGAAUAAGCUCCGGCUAACUCCGUGCCAGCAGCCGCAGUAA
This 449-nucleotide ribosomal RNA is filed under the name uncultured bacterium. RNAcentral's name for it is "partial 16S ribosomal RNA". It matches the Rfam family "Bacterial small subunit ribosomal RNA", at positions 29 to 523 of the family's 1533-position model. The record is from RNAcentral.